RNAcentral lists this long non-coding RNA (1247 nucleotides) under Sinocyclocheilus rhinocerous. Its description in RNAcentral is "lncRNA (ENSSRHG00000039115.1)". Lineage: Eukaryota; Metazoa; Chordata; Actinopteri; Cypriniformes; Cyprinidae. The record is from RNAcentral.
AGUGGAUAACUCUAGUUUUAUUCAUUUUAAAUGCACAUAAAUACAAAAAACUUAACACUGGCUGUAACAUAAAUGCAUAUUUUUCUUUGAAACAUCAGUCCUAAAACGAGCAUACUCAGUGCUUUCAGUUUUGCAUGACUGUAAAACAUUACAAUUGAAGCGUUUACAUUUCCGAUAUGAUUUGGCGUAUAAUUACACCGCAAUCACACUCUCUGUGCUGCAUUCUCCAUUGUUCGCCUGGAUCUGUGCGGGAAAGCCCAGCGCUGGUUGAGGGGCACAACGUGACCUAACAAACAAGGAACCUCCGGGAACACCGUCAGUCCUGAACUAUGCGCACAUGGGGCCUAUCUGAGGGGUCCCGCGAGAAGCGACGCUUUACAAAUGACUCUUAAAAUGCGCUUUUGCAAAUGCCGCUCGGUAAAGCGCAUUAAUUUCGCAUUCGUGCUAUGUUUAUGAUGAAAGUUUACAAUAUUAAUCACUCAGAUGGUGCUUAACGCGUUUUAUUCAUGUGCUCCAUCGGCCGUCAGGACACUCCCUGAGCGCGUUUGCUUCGCUUGGGAGGCGGAGACGGGACCCCCGUUGACGUCAGUGGGCCUGUCGGUUUCCUGCAAUAGAAAGUGAGGGAAGAUAGAGCGAGAGAGGGGGAAAACAGACCUCUGACCGUUGAAAUCUUUGACAACAGUUCAGACUGCACCUCCCGCAACGCUGCUGGAGAGAGUCUCCGAAGCACCGACCGCGACGGCAGAUGUGCAGAGGGUGUCUAUCCUGUGCGGAAUAGGAGAUCGUCUUUCCUCCCUGUGACCGGUCUGCAUUCCAUCCAGCAUCUUUCCGUACGAUGUGUCACUGAGCCAGUGGAAAAACCCUGAAAAUGCCACGUACAAAGCAAAACAACCCUAAAAACCUGAAAGAAUUCCAUGUUGGAACUUACGGAAUCUUCCAUGUGUCGCAUAAGAAGAACAAAAUCAAAAUUGCUGCAUACAAGGAUACAGAUCCCAGGCCAGGUAUGAAGGUAUCGAAGGCUUGGGAUUUUCUGGCGUGUGCCGUUCUCGGUCAGUCUGUAUGAAGACAGGAAGUGUAAACUUCAGAUGAACCAGCCAGAGGGAAUCUCAGUUAUUCCCAAACAGACAGAAAGAGCCCAGAGGGGCAGAGAAACACCUGUCACCUGUCUCCUGAGACUGACUCUCUCGCACACACACACACACACAUAUAUGCAGGAAGUCAGAUGAUUAGUGUGCUGUACUAUUGAC